RNAcentral lists this ribosomal RNA (484 nucleotides) under uncultured bacterium. RNAcentral describes it as "partial 16S ribosomal RNA". It matches the Rfam family "Bacterial small subunit ribosomal RNA", at positions 30 to 507 of the family's 1533-position model. The record is from RNAcentral.
AUUGAACGCUGGCGGCAGGCCUAACACAUGCAAGUCGAGCGGAUGAAGGGAGCUUGCUCCUGGAUUCAGCGGCGGACGGGUGAGUAAUGCCUAGGAAUCUGCCUGGUAGUGGGGGAUAACGUCCGGAACCGGGCGCUAAUACCCCAUACGUCCGAGGGGGAAAAGUGGGGGAUCUUCGGACCUCCCGCUAUAAGAUGAGCCUAGGUCGGAUUAGCUAGUUGGUGGGUUAAAGGCCUACCAAGGCGACGAUCCGUAACUGGUCUGAGAGGAUGAUCAGUCACACUGGAACUGAGACACGGUCCAGACUCCUACGGGAGGCAGCAGUGGGGAAUAUUGGACAAUGGGCGAAAGCCUGAUCCAGCCAUGCCGCGUGUGUGAAGAAGGUCUUCGGAUUGUAAAGCACUUUAAGUUGGGAGGAAGGGCAGUAAGUUAAUACCUUGCUGUUUUGACGUUACCAACAGAAUAAGCACCGGCUAACUUCGUG